UACGGGGGGGGCAAGCGUUGUUCGGAAUUACUGGGCGUAAAGGGCUCGUAGGUGGCCAACUAAGUCAGACGUGAAAUCCCUCGGCUUAACCGGGGAACUGCGUCUGAUACUGGAUGGCUUGAAUCCGGGAGAGGGAUGCGGAAUUCCAGGUGUAGCGGUGAAAUGCGUAGAUAUCUGGAGGAACACCGGUGGCGAAGGCGGCAUCCUGGACCGGCAUUGACGCUGAGGUGCGAAAGCGUGGGGAGCAAACAGG
RNAcentral lists this ribosomal RNA (253 nucleotides) under uncultured bacterium. RNAcentral describes it as "partial 16S ribosomal RNA". It matches the Rfam family "Bacterial small subunit ribosomal RNA", at positions 524 to 776 of the family's 1533-position model. The record is from RNAcentral.